This 865-nucleotide ribosomal RNA is filed under the name Heterodera filipjevi. Its description in RNAcentral is "partial large subunit ribosomal RNA". It matches the Rfam family "Eukaryotic large subunit ribosomal RNA", at positions 307 to 1170 of the family's 3401-position model. The record is from RNAcentral. Lineage: Eukaryota; Metazoa; Nematoda; Chromadorea; Rhabditida; Heteroderidae.
GAGGGAAAGUUGUAGUAGCUGGUUCCUUCCGAUACAAGUACCGUGAGGGAAAGUUGCAAAGCACUUUGAAGAGAGAGUUAAAGAGGACGUGAAACCGAUGAGGUGGAAACGGACAGAGCUGGCGUAUCUGGUCUGCAUUCACCCGUCUGUUGUUGGGCGUUGGGCUUCCUGCCUCCAGACUGGGGUUGGUUGUCUUUCUGUUCAGCGGCUGAUGGGGCAUUUGCAGGCGGAGUGCGCUGAGAUGCUCGGGGUAGCUGCGUGAACUUGGCUUUGAGGCCAGCCCUUCGGGGUCUGGUACCCGGGCCAGGGGAAUGCUGUUUACUCUGGGUGAGAGUGUGCAAUGGUUUCGGGUCCGUGUUGGCUCGAGCUGAGUGUCGGUGGCGGUCGCAUGCGACACGUACCAGCAAUCAGUUCGGUCCAGCUCGGGCUCUCAUUUGUGCGUUCUCGGUGUAAAAGCCGGUUAUCUGUCCGACCCGUCUUGAAACACGGACCAAGGAGUUUAGCGUAUGCGCGAGUCAUUGGGUGUUGAAAACCCAAAGGCGUAAUGAAAGUGAAGGCAUCCUUGCGGAGCUGAUGUGUGAUCCCUGGCACUGCGGUGUUGGGGCGCAACAUAGUCCCGUCUCGAUCGCAUGCGAUGGGGCGGAGACAGAGCGUAUGCGCUGAGACCCGAAAGAUGGUGAACUAUUCCUGAGCAGGAUGAAGCCAGAUGAAACUCUGGUGGAAGUCCGAAGCGAUUCUGACGUGCAAAUCGAUCGUCUGACUUGGGUAUAGGGGCGAAAGACUAAUCGAACCAUCUAGUAGCUGGUUCCUUCCGAUACAAGUACCGUGAGGGAAAUCGUCGACCUGCAGCAUGCAUGCGAUGCCC